This 69-nucleotide transfer RNA is filed under the name Dipodomys ordii (Ord's kangaroo rat). It matches the Rfam family "tRNA". From Rfam's summary of the family: Transfer RNA (tRNA) molecules are approximately 80 nucleotides in length. Their secondary structure includes four short double-helical elements and three loops (D, anti-codon, and T loops). The record is from Rfam by way of RNAcentral. Lineage: Eukaryota; Metazoa; Chordata; Mammalia; Rodentia; Heteromyidae.
GGGAAGGUGGCUCAGUGGUAGAGUGCUUGCUUCACAUGCAUUAAGCCCUGGGUUCAAUUCCUAGCUCCA